UGCAGCUGUGUCUGCUUCACUGUAUUCUAUCAUGGCAAGCACUGGCCCAGAGGCUGCCAUAGAAACUGUCGUCUGUGGGCCUGUCUCCCUGGCUUGGUCAGAGUCUACUCACGGACAGUA
Molecule: small nucleolar RNA, 120 nt
Organism: Grammomys surdaster
Lineage: Eukaryota; Metazoa; Chordata; Mammalia; Rodentia; Muridae
Product: small nucleolar RNA SNORA5
Exons: 1
Source: RefSeq, a predicted model, not a curated record